UACGGGGGGGGCAAGCGUUGUUCGGAAUUACUGGGCGUAAAGGGCUCGUAGGCGCCAACUAAGUCGGACGUGAAAUCCCCAGGCUCAACCUGGGAACUGCGUCCGAUACUGGAUGGCUUGAAUUCGGGAGAGGGAUGCAGAAUUCCAGGUGUAGCGGUGAAAUGCGUAGAUAUCUGGAGGAAUACCGGUGGCGAAGGCGGCAUCCUGGACCGACAUUGACGCUGAGGAGCGAAAGCUAGGGGAGCAAACGGG
This 252-nucleotide ribosomal RNA is filed under the name uncultured bacterium. RNAcentral's name for it is "partial 16S ribosomal RNA". It matches the Rfam family "Bacterial small subunit ribosomal RNA", at positions 524 to 776 of the family's 1533-position model. The record is from RNAcentral.